CCUACGGGGGGCAGCAGUGAGGAAUAUUGGUCAAUGGCCGGAAGGCUGAACCAGCCAUGCCGCGUGAAGGUCAGUGCCCUAUGGGCGUUAAACUUCUUUUGUGCGGGAGCAAUAAUGGUCACGUGUGGCCAGACGAGAGUACCGUACGAAUAAGCAUCGGCUAACUCCGUGCCAGCAGCCGCGGUAAUACGGGGGAUGCAAGCGUUAUCCGGAUUUAUUGGGUUUAAAGGGUGCGUAGGCUGUGAGGUAAGUCAGCGGUGAAAUGCCCCCGCUCAACGGGGUGAAGUGCCAUUGAUACUGCCUGGCUGGAAUGCGGAUGCGGUGGGAGGAAUGUGUGGUGUAGCGGUGAAAUGCAUAGAUAUCACACAGAACACCGAUUGCGAAGGCAUCUCACGAAUCCGCGAUUGACGCUGAUGCACGAAAGCGUGGGUAUCAAACAGGAUUAGAUACCCUUGUAGUC
RNAcentral lists this ribosomal RNA (460 nucleotides) under uncultured bacterium. RNAcentral's name for it is "partial 16S ribosomal RNA". It matches the Rfam family "Bacterial small subunit ribosomal RNA", at positions 338 to 795 of the family's 1533-position model. The record is from RNAcentral.